Molecule: long non-coding RNA, 1782 nt
Filed under: Heterocephalus glaber (naked mole-rat)
Lineage: Eukaryota; Metazoa; Chordata; Mammalia; Rodentia; Bathyergidae
Description: lncRNA (ENSHGLG00100042922.1)
Source: RNAcentral
UUUUUGGCCACUGGGUCAUCUGGCUGUGCAGUGAGCCGUAGUGCAGAUGAACAGUUCCCCAUGGGGCUCCACUGACCCACAGUGGGGCUGAGGUCAGGUGUGAUCUGCCCACGGAAAGGCCAGUGUGUGCGUGCGUGCAUGCGUGUGUGUGUGUUUGCACGCACAUCGGGGGAGACAGGAUACAUAGAUGUAGACAUUUAAUUUCUGCUAACAUAGCCACAGGCCCUGUCAAGGGACUAUCACAUCCAUCCCAAAAUGAGCAAUAAGAGGGAUUGUUUUCUGAGUGAAGUGCCUGGGGCAAAGUCAUUUAAUUAAAAAAUGCUGCAAUUUAAGAUGCAGGCAGGAGGCUGAGGGGGAUUUCCAGCUGAGGUGGGGACCCUGCCAUCAGCCCCCAGGCUGAUAGAGAUGGUGCCGGGAUUCACAGGCUCACCUCCGUGUGGGUCCCAGAGCCCUGGGUCUGAUGGCCAUGAGUGGGGAGCAGGGACAGGGAGGGAGCCAGACAGAGGCCUGUGCAGCGAGGCAAUGUGCACAUCUAGCCACAGUCACAGAGACAGGAGAGGACGGCCGCGCCGACAAGAAAGAGAGCACAGGGGACCAGGGACACCACAAAGAACUGGGGCACAGGAUUGAAGGAAAGUUUUCCUUGCUGGGAUGAGGGAUCAGAAAAGGAUCCUGCUGCAUGAUGGAUCAGAAGAAGACCCUGAGGGCUUCACCUGUCUGCCUGUGGAGACUGCUUAGCUCCAGCAGGUCACCCUAGCGGGCCCACCCCGCCCACCAUGACCCCCGUGACAGCACCCUGUCCCCAGGAAGGUUGCCGCCCGCCACCCGGCUUCACCUGCACACAUCCAGUGUCUCCACUGCACGCCUCCCUGCAGCCUGCCCAGGCCUGGCAGCGCCCACGGCUCCAGCUUCAGCUCUACUGGGAGUCAGCUGGAAGCGGGGUUCUACUGGAGAGAAAGUGAUCUGCAACACACGGGGAGUCAAGCUUCUGAAAAGUCCACCUGCAGAGGCGAUUCGGGCCUGUCAGUCUCCCGGGCCCCCUCACAGAGCCUGGCGCAGGACCACCCAGGCGUCAGCCUCCUGCUGUGCUCCAGCCCACACCAGCCCAGGAACUGCGACACAGUCGGAGCAGCCUGGCUGAGAGUGCAGGCCAGAGGCAUGUAGACCACAGCCGUGAGCGUGGCUGUGCACGGUGAGCCAGAUCCAAACAUUAGUGUCGCCACACGGAGCUCUCCUGUCUUCCUCCACUUCCUUCAAUUUACCCCAUCUGGCAGCACCAGGCUGUAUGCCCACAUCAGAUCAAAAUCCAUUUGCGUCCCCUGGAGGGGAGGGGAGGAGGGGAGCGAGCACUCACUGACCAGGGUGCAUUGCUUCUGGGCACCACUUCCGUUCCCAACCCUGAAGGACAAGCAGGGUGGGGUCCCUGGAUCGCCCUCCCUCUGCAGAGCCUGGAAACACCGAGUGCCUCUGGCUGGUUUCUGUUGCUGUAACUGCUCUUCGGAGCUGGUGACUUAUAAACAACAGAAGCUCAUGUGGCCGGGGUUGGGGGGCGGUGGGGGGGUGCACUGGAGUCCAUGCCUGAGGGCCUGCUCGAGGUUCGGGCCUCUGUGCGGUGCCAGCCUCCGCAGGGGUGGAAGGGCAGGAAGACCUGCAGGGCGAGGCUGCCCUCUCAGCUCCAGCCCAUCGUGGUCAGCAUCGAAGACGUCCUGCCCCAGCUCUCCCACCCACCCUCCCAGCCCAUGCUCUUGGGGACCCGGGACCCCGAAGCGUGCCCCUGAGCCC